UAAACAACUUUAUUAACAUAGUCAAGCAGUGAUUAACAUUCACAUCUAUUAUGUCACAUCAUACAAAUGUAAAUACAAAAUUACUACAGUACAAUAUAUAUUCUCUGCAUGAUCCAAAAUAUUUGGUGGCCCCAAAAAACUCUCUUUAAAAUUCAGCAGCUUAUCAAAAAUUAAAACCGUAUUCUAUUUAAAAUGAAGAUCUGUUAGCACAGAGUUAGACUUCAAGAAAUAUCAAUUUAGUACAGCUUGAGAAGUUGCAGGAGGGUAUGUUUGAAGGACACAUUCUAACAUAGUGUGGCAGGUACAGGAAACAUCAGAUUUAAAGCUUUUAAGCAUAACUCAUACAACCUAAGUUGUCAGCAGAAAGAUCCAGUUAUUUAUAAUUAAAGCUAAAACUACUACAUUAUUGCACCCAAUAUUAUUAACAUGAAUAUUAAGUGUAAAACUUUUUUAUAACAUGAAGUGAUUAACCACGUUUAAACACCUCUUCUCACAGAUAAUCUAUUAAAUAAAAUUAUACAGUAUUGUCUAAUUAUUAUCUCCAUAAAAAUUGUCCAAUCUUAAUCUUGUUAAAUAUCCACAGAGGAAAAGAGUAAUGAAGUGAAUGGUGAAAGUACAGUGGAACCCCUUUAUGAGGCCGGGAGUAGGAGGGGGCCAACAUUGCCUUGGAGGCUAACCAUGUUACAGAAUUAAGACUUGUAAAAUAGUAAAUUUGGCUUAAUAUCAAGCCAUAGUACAAGGGGAUCCUAUGAUAAACAAAAAUUCUAAUAAAAGGGAAAACAACAUUUUCCUAGUGAUAUAAUGCUUGGCAAAUUGAUUAAGUUUGAUUUAAAAAUGUACAAGAGGUGAAAAAAAUCAUUUAACUUCCCUUAAAUUCGUGCAUACACUGAAAAAUACAUCCUGGGAUACAAAUGAGAAUAAACAGUUGCUAUAAUUUAAAUGCAUAUCUUAAAAUUAAUAUGUAUAGUAACCAAGAAUAAAGAUAAAGAACUUUAUACAUGUAAUACCAAUGGAGGAAAGAUCUACAUAAGACUGAAAAAAUUAGUCACAAGUCACCUGAAGAGUGUACAAGUGAAUGAAACUUUUAUGUAAAAUGUAAUUUUUAAGAGGCAUUAGAAAUAUCAUAUUUAAUACAGUAUGAAAGAUACUAAGUAGAUAUACAAUGCUCUUGCAUGGUAUUACUACUAGAUAAUGUCACACAGUUCUUUAUUGAUCUGAUUUUUCAUCUAGACUAUUCCAGGCCUUUAACAAUCUGAAGACCAGUUAUCUUAAAGAUUUUAAUGCCUACACUUCAAUAACAAUACUACUAGCAAGUUAGUGCUUCCUCCUUGUACUAUUUGCAAAAAGUAAUUCAAGCAAAGCUGUAUUUUAAGGUACUAUUAAAGGAAGGAUUUAAAUUGCAGUUAUGCAUGAUACAGUCUUCGCUUGGGAAGAAUGUUUUUGCACCGUUAUCUGUUAAUACAUUCAAUAUGAAUAUAAAUUAUACAAAUAAAAAAAAACCACACCUCCACUUUUUUUUUUCCUUUAUGGCAAAAUAUUUGUUAAAUUUAAACUAAAGUGUUUGAGACAAAUUCUGGCAUUUCAGUUAUGCAGAGUAAUUUAAUACAGAAUAGAAAAAUGUCCACAUUGCUAUCUUGAGGGUUUGAAGAAAAGGAGGACCAAAUUAAAUUCAUUUUCAAGAGAAAUCUACAAGAGGGAUUUACACCCCCCUGGUCAGCUGGAAUAAGGACGGGAAAACCAGACUACAUGGGAAGAGAAAUAACACUAAAAAACAAAGACUAUAAGUAUAAUGAUCCUUUAUAAGCAUAUGUCACCAAAGCAAACAGGAUACAAGAGUAUUCACCUGAGAUAAAACUUGUAUCUGAAUAUUUUGUAACUGAGUAGACAAAGCAUUUCAAUAGAGGAAAGUCAGCGGAAAUUAUUUUAAAAUAUACAUCUGAUACUAUUUUACAAUAUAUGCAAUUUAAGCAAUUCAGAUCAAUGAAAAAGUCUUAACAAAAAAAUCACAGUGUUUAUCAAUAUGUUAAUUACAAAAUGUAUGCUACUUAUUUUGUUUUAAAAGAUGUAAUGGCUUGGUUAAGUGUUUUAAAAUCUAUUUUUCUGAAAUCUAACUUGCAUCACAAAAUCAAGUAGCAAUAAUGUAAAGCAUCAGAACUGGCUCUUAAAGAUUAUUUACAUAUUGAUUAUUUGGGAAAUAACCAAAAAAUAUAAAAAAGUGAUUUUUU
Molecule: long non-coding RNA, 2225 nt
Organism: Pipistrellus kuhlii (Kuhl's pipistrelle)
Lineage: Eukaryota; Metazoa; Chordata; Mammalia; Chiroptera; Vespertilionidae
Exons: 2
Source: RefSeq, a predicted model, not a curated record